UACGUAGGGGCUAGCGUUAUCCGGAUUUACUGGGCGUAAAGGGUGCGUAGGCGGUCUUUCAAGCCAGAAGUGAAAGGCUACGGCUCAACCGUAGUAAGCCUUUGAAACUGGGAAACUUGAGUGCAGGAGAGGAGAGUUGAAUUCCUAGUGUAGCGGUGAAAUGCGUAGAUAUUAGGAGGAACACCAGUUGCGAAGGCGGCUCUCUGGACUGUAACUGACACUGAGGCACGAAAGCGUGGGGAGCAAACAGGAUUAGAUACCCUGGUAGUCUCU
This 273-nucleotide ribosomal RNA is filed under the name uncultured prokaryote. RNAcentral describes it as "partial 16S ribosomal RNA". It matches the Rfam family "Bacterial small subunit ribosomal RNA", at positions 524 to 798 of the family's 1533-position model. The record is from RNAcentral.